UGCUUCUGAGCUGUGGCUGUGC
RNAcentral lists this unclassified non-coding RNA (22 nucleotides) under Mus musculus (house mouse). RNAcentral's name for it is "oocyte_clustered_small_RNA12170". The record is from RNAcentral. Lineage: Eukaryota; Metazoa; Chordata; Mammalia; Rodentia; Muridae.